CCUACGGGGGGCUGCAGUGGGGAAUAUUGGACAAUGGGCGAAAGCCUGAUCCAGCCAUGCCGCGUGUGUGAAGAAGGCCUUCGGGUUGUAAAGCACUUUCAGUGGGGAAGAAAGCCUUGGGGCUAAUACCCUCGAGGAAGGACAUCACCCACAGAAGAAGCACCGGCUAACUCCGUGCCAGCAGCCGCGGUAAUAUGGAGGGUGCGAGCGUUAAUCGGAAUUACUGGGCGUAAAGCGCGCGUAGGCGGUCUGAUAAGCCGGUUGUGAAAGCCCCGGGCUCAACCUGGGAACGGCAUCCGGUACUGGCAGGCUAGAGUGCAGGAGAGGAGGGUAGAAUUCCCGGUGUAGCGGUGAAAUGCGUAGAGAUCGGGAGGAAUACCAGUGGCGAAGGCGGCCUACUGGACUGACACUGACGCUGAGGUGCGAAAGCGUGGGUAGCAAACAGGAUUAGAUACCCUAGUAGUC
Molecule: ribosomal RNA, 465 nt
Filed under: Vreelandella stevensii
Lineage: Bacteria; Pseudomonadati; Pseudomonadota; Gammaproteobacteria; Oceanospirillales; Halomonadaceae
Description: partial 16S ribosomal RNA
Rfam family: Bacterial small subunit ribosomal RNA
Source: RNAcentral